This 1529-nucleotide ribosomal RNA is filed under the name Neisseria flavescens. Its description in RNAcentral is "bacterial SSU rRNA". It matches the Rfam family "Bacterial small subunit ribosomal RNA". Lineage: Bacteria; Pseudomonadati; Pseudomonadota; Betaproteobacteria; Neisseriales; Neisseriaceae. The record is from RNAcentral. RNAcentral also lists the same sequence under 2 other names.
AGAGUUUGAUCCUGGCUCAGAUUGAACGCUGGCGGCAUGCUUUACACAUGCAAGUCGGACGGCAGCACAGAGAAGCUUGCUUCUUGGGUGGCGAGUGGCGAACGGGUGAGUAAUAUAUCGGAACGUACCGAGUAAUGGGGGAUAACUAAUCGAAAGAUUAGCUAAUACCGCAUAUUCUCUGAGGAGGAAAGCAGGGGACCUUCGGGCCUUGCGUUAUUCGAGCGGCCGAUAUCUGAUUAGCUGGUUGGUGGGGUAAAGGCCUACCAAGGCGACGAUCAGUAGCGGGUCUGAGAGGAUGAUCCGCCACACUGGGACUGAGACACGGCCCAGACUCCUACGGGAGGCAGCAGUGGGGAAUUUUGGACAAUGGGCGCAAGCCUGAUCCAGCCAUGCCGCGUGUCUGAAGAAGGCCUUCGGGUUGUAAAGGACUUUUGUCAGGGAAGAAAAGGCUGUUGCUAAUAUCGACAGCUGAUGACGGUACCUGAAGAAUAAGCACCGGCUAACUACGUGCCAGCAGCCGCGGUAAUACGUAGGGUGCGAGCGUUAAUCGGAAUUACUGGGCGUAAAGCGAGCGCAGACGGUUACUUAAGCAGGAUGUGAAAUCCCCGGGCUCAACCCGGGAACUGCGUUCUGAACUGGGUAACUAGAGUGUGUCAGAGGGAGGUAGAAUUCCACGUGUAGCAGUGAAAUGCGUAGAGAUGUGGAGGAAUACCGAUGGCGAAGGCAGCCUCCUGGGAUAACACUGACGUUCAUGCUCGAAAGCGUGGGUAGCAAACAGGAUUAGAUACCCUGGUAGUCCACGCCCUAAACGAUGUCAAUUAGCUGUUGGGCAACUUGAUUGCUUAGUAGCGUAGCUAACGCGUGAAAUUGACCGCCUGGGGAGUACGGUCGCAAGAUUAAAACUCAAAGGAAUUGACGGGGACCCGCACAAGCGGUGGAUGAUGUGGAUUAAUUCGAUGCAACGCGAAGAACCUUACCUGGUCUUGACAUGUACGGAAUCCUCCAGAGACGGAGGAGUGCCUUCGGGAGCCGUAACACAGGUGCUGCAUGGCUGUCGUCAGCUCGUGUCGUGAGAUGUUGGGUUAAGUCCCGCAACGAGCGCAACCCUUGUCAUUAGUUGCCAUCAUUUAGUUGGGCACUCUAAUGAGACUGCCGGUGACAAGCCGGAGGAAGGUGGGGAUGACGUCAAGUCCUCAUGGCCCUUAUGACCAGGGCUUCACACGUCAUACAAUGGUCGGUACAGAGGGUAGCCAAGCCGCGAGGUGGAGCCAAUCUCACAAAACCGAUCGUAGUCCGGAUUGCACUCUGCAACUCGAGUGCAUGAAGUCGGAAUCGCUAGUAAUCGCAGGUCAGCAUACUGCGGUGAAUACGUUCCCGGGUCUUGUACACACCGCCCGUCACACCAUGGGAGUGGGGGAUACCAGAAGUAGGUAGGGUAACCGCAAGGAGUCCGCUUACCACGGUAUGCUUCAUGACUGGGGUGAAGUCGUAACAAGGUAGCCGUAGGGGAACCUGCGGCUGGAUCACCU